RNAcentral lists this ribosomal RNA (497 nucleotides) under uncultured bacterium. RNAcentral describes it as "partial 16S ribosomal RNA". It matches the Rfam family "Bacterial small subunit ribosomal RNA", at positions 28 to 507 of the family's 1533-position model. The record is from RNAcentral.
GAUGAACGCUCGCGGCGUGCCUAAUACAUGCAAGUCGAGCGAACAGAUGAGGAGCUUGCUCCUCUGACGUUAGCGGCGGACGGGUGAGUAACACGUGGAUAACCUACCUAUAAGACUGGGAUAACUUCGGGAAACCGGAGCUAAUACCGGAUAAUAUAUUGAACCGCAUGGUUCAAUAGUGAAAGACGGUUUUGCUGUCACUUAUAGAUGGAUCCGCGCCGCAUUAGCUAGUUGGUAAGGUAACGGCUUACCAAGGCAACGAUGCGUAGCCGACCUGAGAGGGUGAUCGGCCACACUGGAACUGAGACACGGUCCAGACUCCUACGGGAGGCAGCAGUAGGGAAUCUUCCGCAAUGGGCGAAAGCCUGACGGAGCAACGCCGCGUGAGUGAUGAAGGUCUUCGGAUCGUAAAACUCUGUUAUUAGGGAAGAACAAAUGUGUAAGUAACUAUGCACGUCUUGACGGUACCUAAUCAGAAAGCCACGGCUAACUACGUG